Dreissena polymorpha is the source of this 2167-nucleotide RNA transcript. It is a transcript of the gene named triple QxxK/R motif-containing protein-like, with no coding region annotated. NCBI's taxonomy places the organism in Eukaryota, Metazoa, Mollusca, Bivalvia, Myida, Dreissenidae. The record is from RefSeq and is a predicted model, not a curated record. The transcript is spliced from 4 exons.
AAGGGAAGAUAAUAAGCACUCUGAAUGUAAACAAUCAAUUUAACGUUCUGACUUUUUAUUUCGCUCAGGGACCUAUAUAUGCAUAUUACAUAGUCAAUUUGUUGUCAACUCAUCAACUUACAUUUUAAGAUCCCCAGGUAUUGCAACCAUGGGUAGAAAAGAUGCAAAUAGCACGCACUCAGCACCUGUGGAUACAUAUAGGAAACAAAUAGGAAAACAUGAUUAUAAUAAGGAGAAGAGAAAACUUAAAGCUGCAAAAGCUGCUGCUGAUCUUAAGAAAUCCUCAUCACCUGUAAAGGACACAGUGAUGGUUCUUAUCACAGGUCUACUGUUAAUAGGUGGUUUAUAUGUGGGAUUGUAUUGGUAUUUAAACAAAGAGCUGCCAAGAUGAGAGAAUGAAGAUGCCUAAGUGUUAUAGCUUACAUAUCAUUUAAUUGGAAAGAUCAAUUUAAACGCACCCGGCCACUUUUUAUGAUAUUUUCCAUACCCCAGAUACUUAGUAUUACACCUGGGGUACUUUUUGGUAUUACCUGAGCUGUCAGUGACCUUUAAGCCUUAUUUGACGACUAUGCAUUUGCCUAUGAUGAAGUUAUACCAGUAUUAAUACUUGUUGUUAGUGAAAAUUAAUUAACUUUGAGAUUCAAACAUUUUGUUCCAUUUUAUGAUAGGCAAUGAAGAUCAAGUGACUGAGUAUUUACUCAAUAAAUGGUGUCAAUAUGUUGCAUCUUUUUAUAUACUAAAUGUUGCACAUAAAGGUGAAUACAUGUUUUAAUUUAAACAAUCUUUGAAUAUUGUGAUGAUUAGUUGUUAAUCUCUGAACAUAUAUUCGAUAAGUUUUGUUACUUUUAUGUUUUAUGUAUGUUAAACAAUAAUACCAUUCUGUAUUUUUGUUUUGUUAUGGGUUUGUUAACAUCGUUGUUGAAUAUAAUUAAAUUCACACAUUGCAUACUUGCCUUUUAUUUAUUUGAAUAUUAUUUACUUAUUGUAUGUGUAACCCAAAGAAUUUUCAUCUUUAUGUUAUAUUUAUAUGUCUAAAAUGCUUGUGACAUACAUUUUAAUUAAUACAUGUGUCUCAAUCAUAAGAUUUAAAUUUCAGUUUGUUUUUGUUUUUUUAGCUCAUCUAUUUUUUGAAAAAAAAUUAUGAGCUAUUGUCAUCACCUUGGCGUCGGCGUCCGUGUUGGCGUCAGCGUCCGGUUAAGUUUUGCGUUUAGGUCCACUUUUCUCAGAAAGUAUCAAUGCUAUUGCAUUCAAACUUGGUACACUUACUUACUAUCAUGAGGGGACUGGGCAGGCAAAGUUAGAUAACUCUGGCGUGCAUUUUGACUGAAUUAUAUGCCCUUUUUAUACUUAGAAAAUUGAAAAUUUUGGUUAAGUUUUGUGUUUAGGUCCAUUUUAUUCCUUAUGUAUCAAAGCUAUUGCUUUCAUACUUGCAACACUUACUAACUAUCAUAAGGGGACUGUGCAGGCAAAGUUAUGUAACUCUGACUGGCAUUUUGACAGAAUUAGGUGCCCUUUUUAUACUUAGAAAAUUGAACAUUUGGUAAAGUUUUGUGUUUAGGUCCACUUUAUUCCUACAGUAUCAAAGCUAUUGCUUUCAUACUUGCAACACUUAUUAACUAUCAUAAGGGGACUGUGCAGGCAAAGUUAUGUAACUCUGACUGGCAUUUGGACGGAAUUAUGGGCCCUUUAUACUUAGAAAAUUGAAAAUUUGGUUAAGUUUUGUAUUUUGGUCCACUUUACCCCUAAAGUAUCAUAGAUAUUGCUUUCAUACUUGGAACACUCGCAAACUAUCAUAAGGGUACAGUAAAAGGACAAGUUGCAUAACUCUGGUUGUCAUUUUUACGGAAUUAUGGCCCUUUUUUGACUUAGUAACUUUGAAUAUAUGGUUAAAUUUUGUGUUUCGAUCCACUUUACUUCUAAAGUAUCAAGGCUAUUGCUUUCAAACUUCAAAUACUUUCAUGCUAUCAUGAGAUUACUGUACCUGGCAAGCUUAAUUUUACCUUGACCUUUGAAUGACCUUGACUGUCAAGGUCAAAUUAUUAAAUUUUGCUAAAAUUGCCAUAACUUCUUUAUUUAUGAUUAGAUUUGAUUGAUACUUUAACAAAACUACUCUUACCUGACAUACCACAAUAGACUCCACCCAAACCAUCCCCCGUGCCCUCCCUCC